GUUCAGUGAUGAUCCCCCAUGCGUGUCAUCUGACCCUCCCUCUCCCAGUUAACUUCCACCGGCGUUCUGCCGGCGGGGGAAGCACGUGGGGUCCCGGGAGGAGUGAUCACAGCUAACUCCUGAGGUGUCUGAGAAC
RNAcentral lists this small nucleolar RNA (136 nucleotides) under Salvator merianae (Argentine black and white tegu). Its description in RNAcentral is "Small nucleolar RNA SNORD10 (ENSSMRG00000002881.1)". It matches the Rfam family "Small nucleolar RNA SNORD10". Lineage: Eukaryota; Metazoa; Chordata; Lepidosauria; Squamata; Teiidae. The record is from Rfam by way of RNAcentral.